RNAcentral lists this ribosomal RNA (1339 nucleotides) under uncultured rumen bacterium. Its description in RNAcentral is "bacterial SSU rRNA". It matches the Rfam family "Bacterial small subunit ribosomal RNA", at positions 43 to 1377 of the family's 1533-position model. The record is from RNAcentral.
CAGGCCUAACACAUGCAAGUCGAGGGGCAGCGCGGGAGUGGCAACACUCCUGGCGGCGACCGGCGCACUGGUGAGUAACACGUAUGCGACCUGCCCCGGACAGGGGGAUAAACCCGGGAAACUGGGCCUAAUACCCCAUAUGCCUGAGAGGUGCAUGCCUUUCAGGUGAAAGAUCCGUCGGUCCGGGAUGGGCAUGCGGCGCAUUAGCUUGUUGGCGGGGCAACGGCCCACCAAGGCGACGAUGCGUAGGGGUUCUGAGAGGAAGGUCCCCCACACUGGUACUGAGACACGGACCAGACUCCUACGGGAGGCAGCAGUGAGGAAUAUUGGACAAUGGCCGGAAGGCUGAUCCAGCCAUGCCGCGUGCGGGAAGACGGCCCUAUGGGUUGUAAACCGCUUUUGCGAGGGAGCAAUAAGGGCAACGUGUUGUCCGAUGAGAGUACCUCGCGAAUAAGCAUCGGCUAACUCCGUGCCAGCAGCCGCGGUAAUACGGAGGAUGCAAGCGUUAUCCGGAUUUAUUGGGUUUAAAGGGUGCGCAGGCGGCUUGUUAAGCGGGAGGUGAAAUGCCGGCGCUCAACGUCGGAAGUGCCUCCCGAACUGGUGAGCUUGAAUGACUCUGCCGUGGGAGGAAUGUGUAGUGUAGCGGUGAAAUGCUUAGAGAUUACACAGAACACCGAUUGCGAAGGCAUCUCACGAAGGGUUGAUCGACGCUGAGGCACGAAAGCGUGGGGAUCAAACAGGAUUAGAUACCCUGGUAGUCCACGCAGUAAACGAUGAUGGCUAACCGCUGGGUUAUUCGAUUCAGUGGCCAAGCGAAAGCGAUAAGCCAUCCACCUGGGGAGUACGACCGCAAGGUUGAAACUCAAAGGAAUUGACGGGGGCCCGCACAAGCGGAGGAACAUGUGGUUUAAUUCGAUGAUACGCGAGGAACCUUACCCGGGCUCGAACGGCUGGUGAAGAGAUCCAGAGAUGGUGACGUCCUUCGGGACACCAGUCGAGGUGCUGCAUGGUUGUCGUCAGCUCGUGCCGUGAGGUGUCGGCUCAAGUGCCAUAACGAGCGCAACCCUUGCCGUCAGUUACCAUCAAGUAGUGUUGGGGACUCUGGCGGGACUGCCACCGCAAGGUGUGAGGAAGGGGGGGAUGACGUCAAAUCAGCACGGCCCUUACGUCCGGGGCGACACACGUGUUACAAUGGCGGCCACAGAGGGGCACUACCUGGCGACAGGAUGGGAAUCUCGAAAAGCCGUCUCAGUCCGGAUCGGAGUCUGCAACCCGACUCCGUGAAGCUGGAUUCGCUAGUAAUCGCGCAUCAGCCAUGGCGCGGUGAAUACGUUCCCGG